Molecule: small nucleolar RNA, 106 nt
Filed under: Gossypium arboreum
Lineage: Eukaryota; Viridiplantae; Streptophyta; Magnoliopsida; Malvales; Malvaceae
Description: Plant small nucleolar RNA R71
Rfam family: Plant small nucleolar RNA R71
About the family: R71 is a member of the C/D box family of snoRNAs containing the C (UGAUGA) and D (CUGA) box motifs. Multiple nearly identical copies of this snoRNA have been identified in Arabidopsis, and it is thought to function as a 2'-O-ribose methylation guide for 18S ribosomal RNA.
Source: Rfam by way of RNAcentral
AAUCCAUGGUGAGGGCAUCGUCUUAAGAGACCCUUGUAUCUCUCCCAUGCAACGUAGAGUGUCUCUAAAUCCAUCUGCACAAAAGAAUAGAUAUCAUUACGUAAUU